This is an RNA transcript of Vitis vinifera (wine grape), 4389 nucleotides long. It is a transcript of the gene named disease resistance protein RPV1, with no coding region annotated. NCBI's taxonomy places the organism in Eukaryota, Viridiplantae, Streptophyta, Magnoliopsida, Vitales, Vitaceae. The record is from RefSeq and is a predicted model, not a curated record. The transcript is spliced from 5 exons.
AACACUCAUGCUGACCUUCUGGCAUUGCACCCGCCUUCCAUUGAGAUUCAUGGCUUCUUUUCCACCUACCAGUGUUUUCCUUUCCUUUCUACGAAGAAAUUGCCUAAGCUCAGCUGAGCCCUGAUAGUAAGAUCGUCGCUGGUACCUUUGGCACACAGCCUGUCAAUGGCUUCUGCGAAUCGUCGAAGGGCGUCUUCUUCUUCUACUCCUGUCCGUCCAUGGGAUUACGAAGUUUUCUUGAGCUUUAGGGGUGAAGAUACCCGCAGAAAUUUCACAGGUCAUCUCUAUGCAGCGUUGAUUCGGAAAGGGAUUGUUACCUUUAGAGACGAUGAAGGACUAUCAAGGGGAGAGGAGAUCGCACCAAGUCUUCUUACAGCUAUUGAGAAGUCAAGGUGCGCUCUCGUGAUUCUCUCCGAACAUUAUGCCGACUCCAGAUGGUGUUUGGAGGAACUGGCGAAGAUCAUGGAGUGGAGGGCAGAAAUGGGAUUGAUAGUUUAUCCAGUUUUCUAUCAUGUGGAUCCUUCCCAUGUGAGACAUCAGAGGGGCCAUUACGGAGAAGCAUUAGCCGAUCAUGAAAGAAAUGGGUCUGGUCACCAGACACAAAGGUGGAGGGCAGCUUUGACAGAAGUGGCCAAUCUUUCUGGAUGGCAUGCAGAAAAUGGGUCUGAGUCAGAAGUUGUUAAUGAUAUUACUCGCACUAUUUUGGCAAGAUUUACUCGGAAACAUUUACAUGUUGACAAAAACCUCGUUGGGAUGGAUGAUCGUUUGAAUGAAGUUAUUCCACAAAUGAUAGAUCUAUCAUCAAAUGAGGUUCGCAUGAUUGGGAUCUAUGGACUUGGAGGAAUUGGUAAAACAACCGUUGCCAAAGUUGUUUAUAAUCGAAUUGCCCCUCUUUUCAUGAUUACUAGCUUUAUUGCUAAUGUCAGAGAGGAUUCCAAAAGUAGGGGUUUACUUCAUUUACAAAAACAACUCCUUCAUGAGAUCUUGCCAAGCCGGAAGAACUUUAUAAGCAAUGUUGAUGAAGGGAUCCAUAUGAUACAAGACAGGUUAUGCUUUAAAAGUGUUCUUCUCAUUCUUGAUGAUGUUGACACUUUGGACCAACUAGAAGGCUUGGCUGGUGAUUGCAAUUGGUUUGGUCCUGGAAGUAGAAUUAUUGUAACAACUAGAGAUAGGCAUUUGUUGGAUGUGCAUAAAAUGGAUGCAUUUUAUGAGGUUAAGAAAUUAGAUCAAAUGGAAGCUAUUGAGCUCUUUAGUCAACACGCAUUUGAACAGAAGCAUCCCAAAGAAGAUUAUGAAACACUUUCAAACUCUAUGGUGCGUUGCGUUGAUGGUCUUCCUUUAGGCCUUAAAGUUUUGGGUCGUUUCCUAUUUGGCAAGACAAUACUUGAAUGGAAAAGUGAAUUGCAAAAACUAAAACAGGAACCUAACCAAGAAAUUCAAGGUGUGCUCAAGAGAAGUUAUGAUGAAUUAGAUCUCACACAAAAGGAUAUAUUCCUAGAUGUUGCUUGCUUCUUUAAUGGAGAAGAUAAAGAUCAUGUUACAAGAAUCCUAGAUGCUUGCAACUUCUAUGCAGAGAGUGGAAUACGAGUCCUCGGUGAUAAAUGCCUCAUAACUAUUUUUGACAACAAGAUAUUGAUGCAUGAUUUGUUACAACAAAUGGGACGAUACAUUGUUCGACAAGAUUAUCCUAACUACCCUGAAAAAUGGAGCAGGUUGUGCUAUCCUGACGACGUAAAUCGUGUAUUGAUCAGAAAAUCGGGAACAGAGGCAAUUGAGGGCAUACUCUUCGACUUGUCUAUACCAAAGCGUAAGCGGAUAGACAUUACUACUAAAUCCUUUGAGAUGAUGACAAGACUUAGGUUGCUCAAAAUCUAUUGGGCUCAUGGAUCUAUUUCUAUAAGGGAGGAUAAUAAAGUAAAGUUGUCCAAAGACUUUGAAUUCCCCUCUUAUGAGCUAAGAUAUCUCUACUGGCAUGGAUAUCCUUUGGAAUCUUUGCCUUCAAGUUUUUAUGCUGAGGACCUCAUUGAACUUGACAUGUGUUACAGCAGCUUAAAACAACUUUGGGAAAGCGACGAGCCUCUUGAAAAGUUAAAUACUAUCAGAGUUAGUUUCUCUCAGCACCUCAUGGAAAUUCCAGACUUCUCAGUUAGGGCUCCAAAUCUGGAAAAACUAAUUCUUGAUGGUUGUUCAAGUUUGCUUGAGGUUCAUCCAUCUAUUGGAAGGCUGAAGAAGAUUAUUGUAUUGAAUCUAAAAAACUGCAAACAGCUUAGCAGUUUUCCAAGCAUCACUGACAUGGAAGCACUUGAAAUUCUUAAUUUUGCUGGCUGCUCAGAGCUCAAGAAGUUUCCGGAUAUUCAAUGUAAUAUGGAACAUUUAUUGAAGCUUUAUUUAUCAUCAACUGCUAUAGAGGAACUUCCAUCUUCAAUCGGGCAGCAUAUCACUGGACUUGUUUUAUUGGAUCUGAAAAGGUGCAAAAAUCUUACGAGUCUUCCCACAUGUAUUUUUAAGUUGAAAUCCCUUGAAUAUCUCUUUCUGUCUGGCUGUUCAAAAUUGGAGAAUUUUCCAGAAAUAAUGGAGGACAUGGAAAAUUUAAAAGAGCUUCUUUUAGAUGGAACAUCCAUAGAAGUGCUACCCUCUUCAAUUGAACGUCUAAAAGGACUUGUUCUAUUGAAUCUGAGGAAAUGCAAAAAGCUUGUGAGUCUUCCAGACAGCAUGUGUAAUUUGAGAUCCCUUCAAACAAUCAUUGUCUCUGGUUGUUCACAACUAGACCAAUUGCCUAAGAAUGUUGGGAGCCUGCAACAUCUAGUGCAGCUCCAUGCUGAUGGAACUGCUAUAAGACAACCACCUGACUCAAUUGUUCUUUUGAGAGGCCUCCGAGUGUUGAUCUAUCCUGGAUGUAAAAUAUUACCAUCUAGCUCAUUGAGUUCACUCUUUUCAUUCUGGUUGUUGCAUGGAAGAGGUUCAAAUGGGAUUGGUUUGCGCUUGCCUUCUUUUCCAUGUUUAAGCUCCUUGACAAAUUUAAACCAAAGCAGUUGCAAUCCAAGCAGAAACAAUUUUCUAAGCAUACCUACCAGCAUCAGUGCACUUACUAACCUGAGAGACCUUUGGUUGGGGCAGUGCCAGAAUCUUACAGAAAUUCCAGAGCUUCCACCAAGUGUCCCAGAUAUCAAUUCACGUGAUUGCACAUCCCUUUCAUUAAGUUCAUCCAGUAUAAGCAUGUUGCAGUGGCUGCAGUUCCUAUUCUAUUAUUGCUUGAAGCCAGUUGAGGAGCAAUUUAAUGAUGAUAAGAGGGAUGCAUUACAAAGAUUUCCUGAUAAUUUAGUGUCUUUUUCUUGUUCUGAGCCCUCUCCAUCUAAUUUCGCUGUGGUGAAGCAGAAAUUUUUUGAAAAUGUUGCAUUUAGCAUGAUUCUUCCUGGAAGUGGAAUUCCCAAGUGGAUCUGGCAUCGGAAUAUGGGAUCUUUUGUAAAAGUAAAGCUACCUACGGAUUGGUAUGAUGAUGACUUUUUGGGAUUUGCUGUCUGCUCUGUUCUUGAACAUGUCCCUGAUAGAAUUGUAUGCCAUUUGAGUCCUGACACUCUUGAUUAUGGAGAAUUGAGAGACUUCGGUCAUGAUUUCCAUUGCAAAGGUAGCGAUGUCAGUUCAGAGCAUGUCUGGUUGGGUUAUCAACCUUGUGCUCAGCUGAGGAUGUUUCAAGUGAAUGACCCGAAUGAGUGGAGUCACAUGGAGAUUUCUUUUGAAGCAACCCAUAGACUCAGCUCAAGAGCAUCAAAUAUGGUGAAAGAAUGUGGGGUACGUCUUAUAUAUGCAGAAGAUCUUGAAAGUAUACAAUGCAGCCCUCUUCUUGGGAGUUUGGGUGACUCUGGAUCAAGAGUAGGAGGCAAUAUAGUUGAGAGAAGCAGUGACGGGGCAGGGCCCAGUGGAAGUGGAAGUGGGCACAGUUCUGUUGGCAGCAGUCAGCAUUCCAGGAAUGAUCCCUUGCUGAAGGUCAAGCGCAAAUAUUUCCCAGAAUGACUACCAUCAUCCAAGCACUUUCUUCCAAUAAACUUCUCUUCUGUUGAUUUGGUUAUGCACGCUUCAAGUUAUGAUUAUUUUCUUUCUUCCAUUGUAUUGACCUCCUCCAAUCAUAUCUCUCUAUUACAUCUUUGUGGACCUUUUGGCCAGAAUGAGAAUUCCCAUGGAAGGAUUUAAUGUUCUUGUUUCUUGUAGAGCAACUCCUUUGCAAGUGCAGCUGUCCCACCAGCUUGUAAUUUUUUUUUUUAACUAUUAAUAUAUUUUAGAUGCUACUUAUGAAACUAGUUAUUUUUGUUUGUGAUAAAUUCAGCAGAGCCUUAUUAAGGCUUUUUUUAUUCAAUCCAUUGUUGUGGCACAGAUGCCUUUUGCAAUUCUAAA